RNAcentral lists this ribosomal RNA (842 nucleotides) under Polycelis tenuis. RNAcentral's name for it is "eukaryotic LSU rRNA". It matches the Rfam family "Eukaryotic large subunit ribosomal RNA", at positions 679 to 1474 of the family's 3401-position model. The record is from RNAcentral. Lineage: Eukaryota; Metazoa; Platyhelminthes; Tricladida; Planariidae.
UAUUAUCGCGAGUCAAAGGGCCAUACGAAACCCCACGGYGUAAUUAAAGUAAAGGUUGAUUUAUCAACUAUGAUGUGACCUCGUUGCCGUAAAAAGUAACAGAGAGCAACAUCGACCCGUCUAAAGGUGUUCGCAUCUGGGCGGAGUUUGAGCGAUAAUGUAGAGACCCGAAAGAUGGUGAACUAUGCUUGUGCAGAUUGAAGUCAGAGGAAACUCUGAUGGAGGAUCGCAGCGGUUCUGACGUGCAAAUCGAUCGUCGGACAUGAGUAUAGGGGCGAAAGACUAAUCGAACCAUCUAGUAGCUGGUUCCCUCCGAAGUGUCCCUCAGGAUAGCUGGCGUUUAUUUGUUGUAGUUUUACCUGGUAAAGCGAAUGAUUAGAAGUAUUGGGGACGAAAUGUUCUCAACUUAUUCUCAAACUUUAAAUGGGUGCGAAGUGUAACUCUCUUUAAUGGAGUUAUGCAUAGAAUACACAUGCCUAGUGGGCCAUUUUUGGUAAGCAGAACUGKCGAUGUGGGAUGAACCACACAUCUGGUUAAGGUGCCUAAACUUACGCUCAUGAGAAACCACACAAGGUGUUGGUUGAUUAAGACAGCAGGACGGUGGACAUGGAAGUCGUCAUCCGCUAAGGAGUGUGUAACAACUCACCUGCCGAAUCAACCAGCCCUGAAAAUGGAUGGCGCUGUAGCGUAAUACCUAUACCGGAUCGGUGUAGCAAGUGAAUUUCGGUUCGCAAGUAAGUUGCACCGUGUAGGAGGGUGCCGUGGWUGCUACGAAGCUACUGGCGUGAGUCAGAGUGGAGCGCCCACGGGUACAGAUCUUGGUAGUAGUAKCAAUUAUUCAA